This 276-nucleotide ribosomal RNA is filed under the name uncultured bacterium. RNAcentral describes it as "partial 16S ribosomal RNA". It matches the Rfam family "Bacterial small subunit ribosomal RNA", at positions 78 to 353 of the family's 1533-position model. The record is from RNAcentral.
UCUAAGUUUGAUGGCGACCGGCGCACGGGUGAGUAACACGUAUCCAACCUGCCGAUGACUCGGGGAUAGCCUUUCGAAAGAAAGAUUAAUACCCGAUGGCAUAGUUCUUCCGCGUGGUAGAACUAUUAAAGAAUUUCGGUCAUCGAUGGGGAUGCGUUCCAUUAGGUUGUUGGCGGGGUAACGGCCCACCAAGCCUUCGAUGGAUAGGGGUUCUGAGAGGAAGGUCCCCCACAUUGGAACUGAGACACGGUCCAAACUCCUACGGGAGGCAGCAUG